AGGAUUAUAGUUUUAUUAAAACAUUUGAUUUGCACUCAAAAAAUAUUGACAUUUAUCAAUUUAUCUUA
Molecule: transfer RNA, 68 nt
Filed under: Meleonoma mirabilis
Lineage: Eukaryota; Metazoa; Arthropoda; Insecta; Lepidoptera; Cosmopterigidae
Description: tRNA-Ala
Rfam family: tRNA
About the family: Transfer RNA (tRNA) molecules are approximately 80 nucleotides in length.
Source: RNAcentral